Molecule: non-coding RNA, 111 nt
Organism: Nitrospirae bacterium GWC2_57_9
Lineage: Bacteria; Pseudomonadati; Nitrospirota
Source: Rfam
CUUUGCUCAGAGCAAACCCCGGGAAACCGGGGGGCGCAGAGCCACGAAGCUAAAUAAACCAGUAACCAUUACCACCGGUUCUGCUGUUUAUAUGCUAGUCGAGCCGCCAAA